GUGGCGUAGCAAGGGCAGACUUCAAGAUGGCCUGAAGUGCCCGGAGGAACACACUUGCAACGGGCACAGCAGGUUCCACAUGCCCUGUGACACAAGUUUGGCCUCGACGAUAACUGGCACCUGGCCUUGCAUGCAGCUCCACAGUCUGCAAAAAUUAAUUUACAAAAAUUUUAAGAUGAUACGUAAUCCAGUCAAACAGCAGUGUGUGUAUGUGCCGCGCGAUUGAUGAUAAAUUUAAUUACCAAUUGUUGGAGUGGGAUAACUGCUAUCUCCUUCGUUUGUGUUAACCUGAGCGAUUCAUGUUAUUUAGUUAAUGUGUAAAUAAUAACUCCCUCCAAAAUCAAUUGAUUGAGCGUCUAACAAUUAAUAAUUUGUUAUAUAGAAACUGAAACUUUACCAUCUGAUCAGCUGCAACAAGAUGGAGAACAAGAAUAAGUGAGAGGAGAAUUGAAGCAAUGAAAGCCUUGGACGACGAGAUGGCCAUGGCUAGCUUAAAUGCUAGAAACUAUUGAAAGUAGGGCUUUGAUCGGAGUAACUGAUACCUAGCUAUUUGAAAACCUAAAUUUUUCUUUUUAUUUUUGGUGCAAAAAUGAGAGCAAAGAUGUGGGUAUUUAUAGCGUAAAUAUCAGAUGGAAAGACAGGAGAGCUUGCAAUAAAUUAUAAGAGAUAAGAAGGCCAGGACUGGGAAGGUGCAUGCGUGUUAACUAAGGAGAUUCUCAUGGUUUAAUUUUGUACGCUUACUAAGCUUUUUCCAAAAAAGGAAAAAGUCAUGGGCCUAUCGACUGAUCGACAUAUAUGAUAAUAGAAUCACUCGUCAUGAUUAUCUGGCGAAGAAAUGCCAUUUGGAAUCGUUCGGAGAGAAGCUAGCAUGUUUUAUUGCAUGGCAACUUUGCUUUUUCAUUUAUCUCUUGGCUUAAUUUUAAUUGAAGUGUACAGUACAAGAGAUGGGGAAAACAUUUUCCAUGAAACCUUAACACAGUGUCAUCGUUAACACGGAUAACUCGGGCUUUAGUUGGACUACUUUGACUGUUUGUCAGAGUCAGCCAAUAUCCUCCCACAUUUCUUCAAUAUUCAUAGUAUUUAUCACAUUAAAUCAUCCAAGGAGAACUUGAAUACUUAAUUAGUAGUAAUCACCCAGCCGAUAAGUUUAAAAUGAAAAGAGAAUGGCAAUAAUUGAAGAGUUCGUAUUUAAUGUACUUCAAUUAUAGUCGCUGUGCCCAACUUCACAUCGCCUUUUCUGCAUUAUUUAGUACAUAUAUUAAAAUCCAUUUUCUUUUUUAUUUCUCGCACAACAAUAUAUUCCUUCUGCUACUUACCUAACCUAUCCAACUGGAGUCCAUACGACCAAACAAAUUAUUUAUGAAUUUAAUCAAAUCCAAACACGGGAAAUAAUUAAAGCUGGCUCCGCUACUCAUUACUCACAAAUUAAAAUUGGAAUAAUGCCUACCUAGUUCAUUAUCAUUUAUUAGUGCAGGCCUUUCUAGGGUUUUAGGUUUGUUGAGGGAUUCCGCGGUUUGCCAGCCAAGACUCAUAAUUAUUUGUAUAUCCUUAUGAUAAAGAAUAAUGAUAUGCUUUACAAAAUUUGUAUCUUAAAUAAUGUGUAUCAUGUGGUAAUAGAUAAUUUCUUAUAUCAUAAGUUUGAUACUCAUUAAGUCAUUGAUGAACUUAAAACAUUAAAAUUGCACAAUUGUUAUAAAGUUUAAAAUGUGCAAUUAAUCUUAGUCAUUAUAUAGUUUAUAUUUGUAAGAAUUAUUACAGAUCAUUAAUUUCCUUUCUUAUAGUACAAGCUAAUAUUAGUGUUAUUACUAAUUAGUGACAUACCAGGAAAAUGGAAGCAGAUUGUAGGAUAAAUGAAUACCAGAUAUCGUUAUAGGAAAGCCUAAGUGAACUUGAUUAAGUUACGUUCUAAUCAAAAUAUGAUUAGAUUUCGUUCUAACCUAAACAACUCAAUGAAAUUUUGAUAACGCUUUGCAGCAAAAUUAGAUGAUGUUAUAAUCCAAAUGACUCGAUAGAAGAUAUUUUGAUAGAUAAUCUCAAAAGAAAUUGUAAAAGAGGAGUUUUUAUUAAUAAAAAAAGUUAUUCUAAAACAAUGACAAUACAUUUUUAUUUAUAAUAGAGUAAACAUACUUUUCCAAGUUAAUUUAAAUAAGAAAACUAUAUCACAAUAAUAUUGAAAAUGAAAGACCAAAAACAAAUACCAUAGUUGACUCAAAUUAAAAGGAAAAAUAAAAAAAGACCUAAAAUAAUAAACUCUAGAAUCUUCUAGACACGUUCUAUAUCAUUCUCCCCCUUUUAAAGCAAACUGGUCUUCAAGUUCCUCCCGAUGAUAAAGAUGAUAAACUUGACGUGGAGCAUCAAUGCAUCCUAGAGCUUGAACUUGUAGCUUGUUUCAUCAAUCUUCCUUGAAGCUUGAAAAUCUUCAUGCUUUAUUUUCUUCUUUAUCUUGUUAGUCACUCUAAAAAUAGGUGAAAUUUUAUGUGAACGAAUCAUUUCUAUACCUCUCAAGUCUUUUGCUUAACUCACUCAAUGUACUCACUAAUUAACUUUUAUCUAGAAGGGCAAAUUCUCUUUUAAGAGUAGACUUCUUGUCUUCAAUGUGAGAGGCAUAAUCAUUUCAAUUAUUGUUGGGGUCUCUUCAACUUGACUUUACUGCACAAAUUCAAUUAUAUUAUUAAAUUUAAUGUUUAAAUUAAUAGUAGGUUGUACCUCUUCUUUAAAAAUCUCAAAUCAAUGCGACCAUUAUCUUUUACUUUUAUUGAUUUUAAAAGAAAUGUUCUACAUCAUUAUAGUAAAAAAAAAAACCUAUCUUCCAUCAAUUGCCUUAUAUCAAACUAUUCAUUUAUUUAUUUUGCCUUUGUUUAAUCCUUAAUUCUUGUAGUUGCUUCUACUAAUCUAAAGUAUCACCUAUCAACUUAAAUGAUACAUGGGAGAUAGUAACUUUCGACAAGACAUUUUGAAGAAAAUCUUCCAUUAUGCAAAUUCAGUAAAAAAUAUCACCAUGUUAUGAUCAAAAUCUGGGACAUCUUUGAUUCAAGGAGACAAUGCAACCCUUAAUAUUCUGUCUUUAUCAUUCUUUUUCAAAUUAAAAAUAAAAUCAAUAACAAAACUAUAAAUAUCCUUAACUCUUAGCUAUAGGUAUUGCCAACGCGUCUGGUGGCCUUGAUUUAGAGUCAUGAGGGUUAGAUCUAGUAGAUAUGAUGGCAAGGAAUGCAACAAUGGCUACAGAUUGAUCAGAAUCGAAGUGGUUUGGUCAGAAAAGGAACUUGUGUUGGUGACGACUUAUGUUAGUUUGGCAGCGGUUCUCGAUUGAAUUUGGACGAUGGCACUUAGGAUCUGUUUAGUGGCUUGAGAAACCUGUGGAGGUUUUACGGCAAUGAACCGGUGGAUCGCUUGCAGGUUUGGGUGAUUUGCUGCGGUUCUAGUGGCAGCUACUGACUCAAUUGUGUGAAGUGAGGUUGGUAGCGGUGACAAUGGUGGUAGGUGUGGGAUUUUUGUUGUGUUUUUUAAUUUUUUGGAUAAAUGGCGAUGGAGGAUUCGUGGUGGAUGGAUAUGAUAGUCCAAAAAGUCGUGAUGCCACAGUUUUGCUUGAUAACCAAAAUGAUGUAGUGGGGUAGUUAAGAAAUGAAUUGAAAAGAUAAAUGAAAAUUAGAUAGGCUGGCUAAAGCAAAUACUUAGGUUACACUUUAAUUAAAGUCUGAUUAAAUUUUAUUAUAGCCUAAAUAAUGUUAGGAGAUUUAGGUAAGGUUUUAUAGUAAAAUUAGAUGAUGUUCUAAUUUAAAUGAUUUUAUUAGAGAAAUUUUGAUAAAUAAUCUUAAAAAGAAUUAUAAUGAUUUUUUUAUUAAUUAAAAGAUUAUCUUAAAAUAAUAACAAUACCUCCCUAUUGAUAGUUGGGUAAACUUACUUCUCCAAAUUAACUCAAAUAAGAAAAUUAAAACACAAGAACAUUGAAAAAAAAAAAAUUAAACUAAUUCCAUAAUUGACUUAAAUUAAAAAAGAAAAUAACAAAAAGACCAAAAAAAAAAAAAAAACUCCAGAAUCUCAAUUAAUAUGAAACAAAGUUAUGAAAGAGUCGUCUCUAUAUAAAAUACAUGCACAAUCUGAAUUCUUUUGCACCAUUUUACUUUGCGUAGAUCAUUUUAUAUAGCACUCAAUUACCAUAAAAGACUUUGGUAUUUACUUCUGAUAAUCACGAUCGUCAAAACAAAGCAACAAUAGCUUUUAGAUCAUCUCUUAUACUCAAUGAGUAUAGUUUUCACCGCCCGAGACGAUGACUCUUUGAUUUUAGAACCACAAAAUUUGCUUGAUUCUCCAAAUAGCAUAGAUUUAUCUUUACUUGUCCGUUGCUUUAAAUCUUUAUCUUUACAUUGUAUGUACAAUGUACGUGCAAUAAAAUAUGUUCUGUAUAAUUAAUUAUAACCAUUUAGUGUAAGUUCAUAAUAUCUUUCAACUCCGAAUACCAUAGAUUUUUCUUGAAAAAGAAAAAAGAAAAAAGAAAAAAGAAAGAAAAAUAAUGUUUUAUUACAAAUUAAUUUUAAAUACUGACACUGGGUUAGUGUACUUAUGCCGAGGAGAGGGCAUCCGUUCAAGUUUCAGUAGUGUAUAUUACAGUAAUAUAGCAUAAUGAUAAUAUGAUAAAAGAUAUUUAAAUUGUGUUAUAAUAAAAAGAAUUUAUAGGUUAGUUUUAAACAUUCAGUAGGUUUUUAAUCGCAUUAUUGGUAUUUAAAAAAGAAAGUCAAUUAAAUAUCUUCCAAUUAUUAAGUACGAUUUUUUAUUUUUUAUUUUUAUUGGAGGAAUAAUGAGAGUACGAUCGAAGACAGGCAGCGGAAGUUGCCAACUUAUUUAGGUCACAGAGAUACUAGGCCACACGUGCCCUAAGGGGAAGUGAUUGGUUUUGAUUUUUGAAGCUCAAAAGCUUUUGUAGACAGAGUGGGACUUGACGGAAAUGAUAAAAACUCAUUACGAAGUAGACUUAGACCCUCACACUCACAGGCCUCACAGCUGUGCAAAAGUGAACCACAGCUGUACUCCGCUCAUGCAGUUAAAUCAAUGCAAGAUGUUUAGGAUAAGCACAAGAGGCGGAACAGACAUCUAAAUAAUUAAUCUCAAUCAACUUUUAAUAUAGUUAAGACCUUAAUCAAUAUAUAUUGAGGUGGUAUAAUUUUUGAAUUACAAUUGUUGUAGAAAAAAUUAUAAUUAUAAAAUAAAAAUUAAUAUUAUAUAGUAAAUAAAAUUUUUAAAUAAUAAUUUUAAUAAAAUUAAUAAAAAUAUAAUAAAUUUUUAUCAUAUAAAGGUAAAAUUAAAUUAAUCUAGUUUUUAAAUUAUAAUAGUUAGUGUUUACAAAGCGUUUUAAUACUGUCCAACUUCAAUCCCAAACGAUAUCUAAAAUUAUAAAUAUUUGUUAAACACUAUAAUAUUGUGUUUACAAAAUUAGAAUGAGAAUGGACUGAAAUUGGAAUAGAGAAUGGAAAUUAGAAUAAGUUAUUUACAUAAACUGUAGGAAUCGGAAUCCGAAUCCAAAUGAGUUAGAUUGCCAUUAAUGUAUUUAUUUUAUCUUAGAAUUAAAAUAAAAAUAAAUUAAAUUGUUACAAAUUACUAAAAAGUCCUUUAUAAUAAUGACAAUAAUAUUCUAAAAUUAAUAUUUAGGUAAUUUAGGAAUAAUAAUAAAAUUCACAAAUUCCUUAGAAAUCAAUCUAUCAUUUUCCAUUCUCAAAUUUGAGUAGAGUCCACAAUUCUAAUUCUAAUUCUUUCUUUUAUUUUGUAAAAUAAACGCUGUUAAUGAUUCCGAUUUAUUAAUUUGUGAAAUAAAAAUUACCUAAAAUUAUAUGGAUCAACUAGACACCGAUUCGAAAAUGUAGACCUUAAACCUUUGAAGCAGUUUUUAGGUAGAUGUGAAAAUCAAAUGAAAUUUUUGCUUCAGUUUGGUUUCAUCGUUUUCCAUCUUAUCUCCACAAAAAGUCGACGUAUAGUUAUGCAACAACGUAAUGUUUCCGAGCCAUCUUUUUUAAUAUUUACUAAGGCGGGCUAUUAAAAAUUGACGUGGGAAUUAGAAGUGUUACCAGUCCCAAAAAAUCCUCAUCAAACCCAUUUAUUUAAAAAUUAAAAUACCCUACUAGUAAUUCACAAAAUAAUAUAUUAUUUCUUAACUCACAUAUUUUGAUUAAAAAAAAAAAAAAACUCCGUCUACGCCCAUACUUAAGUCUUAACUCAUCCCUCUUCCCACUUUCUCUCUCUUCUUUUUCUCAGUUUCAUUUUUUUUUUUUUUUCAUACGAAUAAUUUGUUCACCACAAAUAAUCAACCUCUCACAUUCUCGAUUUAACAUCCCAUAUGUUUUUCUCGUUCACUUGCUCUUGAAAAGACAAGAAAAAACAAAUUAGCAUUGUAAAUAUCUACGAAUUGCACUAAUCCUGUAUUUUUGUUAGAGAACUAGUUUAAUGAUAAUAUUAUAUUUGUUAGAGAACUAGUUUUCUUCUUUACACCCACAGAAAAGUUUGUGACAGCAUAUGAACAUUCAAACAUGACCAAAAAUAGAAUAAAAUCCAAUAUUAAACCUAUGAAGAAAAAUGGAAGGAAAAAACUGUAAUUAUCAAAUUUUAAGCAUGAUAAUAUGAUGCGUUGAGAUUUCAUCUUAAUUAAGAAGAGAUGAAGAAGAAACAUUAAUAAGAACUGAGAAACCUUACUAAGUAUUCCACUCAAUUUAUCCUGAUGAAGAAAAAAUGUGAAGAGACAAAAAGUUAGGAAUGGAUAAUGAAUUAUUCAUUUGAUUUUAUUUGUUUUUCUUUCAAAAGUAUACGAAUGAUCGAUGCUGUAUUGAUACAAGCGCGAACUGAUGGCCAUCCUCAAAGAGAAAGACAAAUCGGCCAAAACUUUCAGAUUUUUAAUAAAGUGAUUUCUCUGAAUCUUCUGUUUUCAUUGUCGUUUUAUGCAAAUUUUGAAUAGGGACAAAUUAACUGAAACUAAAUCAAAGGGGUUUACGAGCGGUGACGAUAGCAGUAUAGCACACCACUCGGCAACUAAUUAAUCAUUUAUUGUUGUUAGAAGAUAACAAACACGACACAAAGUAGACAAUUUAAAAAGGAGAAGAAACCUCUUAUUAUUAUUCUCUCGAAACUUAUGUAUCCACAAAUAAGUAACAUGAAAUGGAUUUAUUUAUUUAUUCAUAGGAAUAUGGAUCAACUCUGUUUUCCUGGCCACAGGCAACACACACGCACACACACAUAUUUAUACAUAUAUAGAGAGAAGAGAGAAUGUAAGCUCCAAAAAAAUUAAUUAAGAAAGUAGACGACGUCCUUUCAACUUAAAAUAUUUCAAGGGCACUUGCGUCUGCCAUGGUGGGUGGUCAUAUUGGCGUAGCAAGGGCAGACCUCAGUGUUGCCUGCAGUGCCUGGAGGAACACAAUUGCAACGGGCGCAGCAGGUACCACAUGCCCUGUGGCACAGGUUUGGCCUCGACGAUAAUCGGCACCUGGCCUGGCAUGCACCUCCACAGUCUGAUUGAUUAGACAAAAAAAAAAAAAAUCAGAUUAAUCAGCUGUAUAUGAACAUUAAUUUAAUCGAAGCAAACAGAAACAGUAGUAUUAAUUUG
RNAcentral lists this long non-coding RNA (7582 nucleotides) under Citrus x clementina. RNAcentral's name for it is "Citrus clementina (C. clementina) long non-coding RNA (CCLE_LNC003124)". The record is from RNAcentral. Lineage: Eukaryota; Viridiplantae; Streptophyta; Magnoliopsida; Sapindales; Rutaceae.